GGGUCGUUAGCUCAGCUGGUAGAGCAGGAGACUCUUAAUCUCUUGGUCGGGGGUUCGACUCCCUCACGGCCUA
Molecule: transfer RNA, 73 nt
Filed under: Deltaproteobacteria bacterium
Lineage: Bacteria; Pseudomonadati; Myxococcota; Myxococcia
Description: tRNA-Lys
Rfam family: tRNA
About the family: Transfer RNA (tRNA) molecules are approximately 80 nucleotides in length. Their secondary structure includes four short double-helical elements and three loops (D, anti-codon, and T loops).
Source: RNAcentral